This 2896-nucleotide ribosomal RNA is filed under the name Clostridioides difficile. RNAcentral describes it as "bacterial LSU rRNA". It matches the Rfam family "Bacterial large subunit ribosomal RNA". The record is from RNAcentral. Lineage: Bacteria; Bacillati; Bacillota; Clostridia; Peptostreptococcales; Peptostreptococcaceae.
UCAAGUUAUUAAGGGUGCAGGGCGGAUGCCUUGGCACUAGGAGCCGAUGAAGGACGUGAUAAGCUGCGAUAAGCUUCGGGGAGUUGCACGUAAACUUUGAUCCGAAGAUUUCCGAAUGAGGAAACUCACUUAGAGUAAUGUCUAAGUAUCAUUAAGUGAAUACAUAGCUUAAUGAGGGGAACUCAGGGAACUGAAACAUCUAAGUACCUGAAGGAAGAGAAAGAAAUUCGAUUCCGUAAGUAGCGGCGAGCGAACGCGGAUUAGCCCAAACCAAUAAAGUUUUCUUUAUUGGGGUUGCGGACAUAUCAUAACGAAGAGGUAUCGUAAUUGAAGAGGUUUGGAAAGACCCACCACAGAAGGUAAUAGUCCUGUAUGUUAAACGAGAAGACUUUAGAUAUGAUCCAGAGUACCACGGGACACGUGAAACCCUGUGGGAAGCAGGAGGGACCACCCUCCAAGGCUAAAUACUACCUAGUGACCGAUAGCGUAUAGUACCGUGAGGGAAAGGUGAAAAGAACCCCGGGAGGGGAGUGAAAUAGAACCUGAAACCCUGCACUUACAAGCUGUGGAAGCACAUUUCUUGUGUGACCGCGUACUUUUUGUAGAACGGGCCAACGAGUUACGUUAAGUAGCAAGGUUAAGCACUUAAGGUGUGGAGCCGUAGCGAAAGCGAGUUUUAACUGAGCGUUCAGUUACUUGACGUAGACCCGAAACCGGGCGACCUACCCAUGAGCAGGAUGAAGCGAAAGUAAAAUUUCGUGGAGGUCCGAACCCACGAGCGUUGAAAAGCUCGGGGAUGACUUGUGGGUAGCGGUGAAAUUCCAAUCGAGCCCGGAGAUAGCUGGUUCUCCCCGAAAUAGCUUUAGGGCUAGCCUCAAGGUGAGAGAUACGGAGGUAGAGCACUGAAUGUCCUAGGGGGUAUUGCACCUACCGAAGACUAUCAAACUCCGAAUGCCGUCAUCUUAUACUUGGGAGUCAGACUGUGGGUGAUAAGAUUCAUAGUCGAAAGGGCAACAGCCCAGAUCGUCAGCUAAGGUCCCUAAAUGUAAGUUAAGUGGUAAAGGAUGUGGGAUUGCACAGACAACCAGGAUGUUGGCUUAGAAGCAGCCACUCAUUCAAAGAGUGCGUAAUAGCUCACUGGUCGAGUGAUCCUGCGCCGAAGAUUUCCGGGGCUAAAACUUACUACCGAAGCUACGGCAUCAGUAAUGAUGGGUAGGGGAGCUUCCCAUACGGGUUGAAGCAUGACCGUAAGGACAUGUGGACAGUAUGGGAGUGAGAAUGUUGGCAUGAGUAGCGAGAUGUGGGUGAGAAUCCCACAGGCCGUAAACCCAAGGUUUCCAGGGGAAGGUUCGUCCGCCCUGGGUUAGUCGGGACCUAAGCUGAGGCCGAAAGGCGUAGGUGAUGGACAACAGGUUGAUAUUCCUGUACUACCGAUAACCGUUUGAGAGAAGGGAUGACACAGUAGGAUAAGCUAAGCACACUGUUGGUUAUGUGUGCCCAAGCAUUGAGGCAGUCAAAGUAGGCAAAUCCGCUUUGAUAAUGCUGGGAUGUGAUGGGGAGCGAAAUUUAGUAGCGAAGUAGCUGAUUUCACACUGUCAAGAAAAGUCUCUAUCGAGGUUAAAGGUACCCGUACCGCAAACCGACACAGGUGGGUGAGGAGAGUAUCCUAAGGCCAGCGAGAGAACUGUUGUUAAGGAACUCGGCAAAAUGACCCCGUAACUUAGGGAUAAGGGGUGCCACCAUCAGGUGGCCGCAGAGAAUAGGCCCAAGCGACUGUUUACCAAAAACAUAGGUUUCUGCUAAGUCGCAAGACGAUGUAUAGGAGCUGACGCCUGCCCGGUGCUGGAAGGUUAAGGGGAUCUGUUAGAGCAAUCGAAGCAGUGAACUUAAGCCCCAGUAAACGGCGGCCGUAACUAUAACGGUCCUAAGGUAGCGAAAUUCCUUGUCGGGUAAGUUCCGACCCGCACGAAAGGCGUAACGAUUUGGGCACUGUCUCAACAACAGACUCGGUGAAAUUGUAAUUCCGGUGAAGAUGCCGGAUACCUGCGACAGGACGGAAAGACCCCAUGGAGCUUUACUGUAGCUUGACAUUGGGUCUUGGUACUACAUGUACAGGAUAGGUGGGAGGCUUUGAAACCAGGACGCCAGUUUUGGCGGAGCCAUCCUUGGGAUACCACCCUUGUAGUACUGGGACUCUAACCAUAGGCCAUGAAUCUGGUCUUGGGACACUGUCAGGUGGGCAGUUUGACUGGGGCGGUCGCCUCCCAAAAGGUAACGGAGGCGCUCAAAGGUUCUCUCAGUACGGUCGGAAAUCGUACGUAGAGUGUAAAGGCAAAAGAGAGCUUGAUUGCAAGACAUACAGGUCGAGCAAGGAUGAAAAUCGGACUUAGUGAUCCGGUGGUUCUGCGUGGAAGGGCCAUCGCUCAACGGAUAAAAGCUACCCUGGGGAUAACAGGCUUAUCUCCCCCAAGAGUCCACAUCGACGGGGAGGUUUGGCACCUCGAUGUCGGCUCAUCACAUCCUGGGGCUGUAGUAGGUCCCAAGGGUUGGGCUGUUCGCCCAUUAAAGUGGUACGCGAGCUGGGUUCAGAACGUCGUGAGACAGUUCGGUCCCUAUCCGUCGCAGGCGUAGGAAAUUUGAGAAGACCUGUCCUUAGUACGAGAGGACCGGGAUGGACGUACCUCUGGUGUACCAGUUGUUCUGCCAAGGGCAUGGCUGGGUAGCUAUGUACGGAAUGGAUAAGCGCUGAAAGCAUCUAAGCGCGAAGCCAACUUCAAGAUAAGAUUUCCCACCGCAAGGGUAAGACCCCAGAAAGACUAUCUGGUUGAUAGGUCGAAGGUGUAAGUGCAGCAAUGUAUUUAGCUUAUCGAUACUAAUAGGUCGAGGACUUGACCAA